This 564-nucleotide long non-coding RNA is filed under the name Gossypium raimondii (Peruvian cotton). Its description in RNAcentral is "long non-coding RNA (GRAI_LNC008677)". Lineage: Eukaryota; Viridiplantae; Streptophyta; Magnoliopsida; Malvales; Malvaceae. The record is from RNAcentral.
GAGCGUGAAGUUCUCUUAAGGUCUGAGGUUCGAGUCCCGUGCUGCACUGAGGAGUGUUUUUUUUUACCACCUGUGUAGUGAGGUGGUAGAGUUGGACUGGAAUACUGCUUAAUGGAGUUUGAAUUGAUCAUGGAGGGAGUUGAGGAGGAUUUGAUGGAGUAAAUCAAGGAGGGAUAAUGGGAGAGAUUUGUAGAGCAAAUUAAGGAAUUUGAUGAGAACGGGGAGUGUGUGCCAUUUGGGGUAUUCCAACAGUGAGAAUUCGGUUGGGGGUGGGUGUUUGUGCCGAAUUUAGUCACUUAGCACUAAAGGUUUUCAAUUUUGGUCUUUUUUUUUGGAGUUUUCUCUGAGUUUGCUUUGAUUUUGGGGAGUUUCGAGUUUUACGUUUUAGUCUUGGUGCCAAAUUUUUGCCUAGUUUUCAGAAGUACAUCUCGGGAUUGAUCAUUUUUCUUUUCUUUUCUUUUUUUUCCUCUCUUUUUCCCCUAUUGCCGAAUCCUCAUUUUACUUUCUUUUCCUUUUCUUUUUUCUUCUGGCCGAACCUUUCUUCUCUUCUCUUUUUUCUUCUUU